Callithrix jacchus (white-tufted-ear marmoset) is the source of this 300-nucleotide unclassified non-coding RNA. It matches the Rfam family "Metazoan signal recognition particle RNA". From Rfam's summary of the family: The signal recognition particle (SRP) is a universally conserved ribonucleoprotein. NCBI's taxonomy places the organism in Eukaryota, Metazoa, Chordata, Mammalia, Primates, Cebidae. The record is from Ensembl.
UCCGGGCUCGGUGGCGCGUGCCUGUAGUCCCAGCUACUCGGGAGGCUGGGGUGGGAGGAUCACUUGAGCCCAGGAGUUCUGGGCUGUAGUGCGCUAUGCCGAUCAGGUGUCCCCACUAAGUUUGGCAUCAAUAUGGUGACAUCUCAGGAGUGGGGGACCACCAGGUUGCCUAAGGAGGGGUGAACCAGCUCAGGUUGGAAACGGAGCAGGUCAAAACUCCCGUGCUGAUCAGUAGUGGGAUCGUGCCUGUGAAUAGCCACUACACUCCAGCCUGGGCAACAUAGUGAGACCCUGUCUCAA